CCGGCGACCGGCGCACGGGUGAGUAACGCGUAUGCAACCUGCCCGUUUCAGCGGGAUAACCCGGAGAAAUCCGGCCUAAUACCGCAUGUGGCCGAGGGGAGGCAUCUUCUUUCGGCCAAAGGAGGCGACUCCGGAGACGGAUGGGCAUGCGUGACAUUAGCUAGUUGGCGGGGUAACGGCCCACCAAGGCGACGAUGUCUAGGGGUUCUGAGAGGAAGGUCCCCCACACUGGUACUGAGACACGGACCAGACUCCUACGGAAGGCAGCA
RNAcentral lists this ribosomal RNA (269 nucleotides) under uncultured bacterium. RNAcentral's name for it is "partial 16S ribosomal RNA". It matches the Rfam family "Bacterial small subunit ribosomal RNA", at positions 88 to 353 of the family's 1533-position model. The record is from RNAcentral.